UACGUAGGGUGCAAGCGUUAAUCGGAAUUACUGGGCGUAAAGCGUGCGUAGGCGGUUUUUUAAGUUUGUCGUGAAAGCCCCGGGCUCAACCUGGGAAUGGCGAUGAAGACUGCAAGGCUUGAAUCUGGCAGAGGGGGGUAGAAUUCCACGUGUAGCAGUGAAAUGCGUAGAGAUGUGGAGGAACACCGAUGGCGAAGGCAGCCCCCUGGGUCAAGAUUGACGCUCAUGCACGAAAGCGUGGGGAGCAAACAGG
RNAcentral lists this ribosomal RNA (253 nucleotides) under uncultured bacterium. RNAcentral describes it as "partial 16S ribosomal RNA". It matches the Rfam family "Bacterial small subunit ribosomal RNA", at positions 524 to 776 of the family's 1533-position model. The record is from RNAcentral.